RNAcentral lists this transfer RNA (90 nucleotides) under Termitomyces sp. T159_Od127. RNAcentral describes it as "tRNA-Arg". It matches the Rfam family "tRNA". Rfam says of the family: Transfer RNA (tRNA) molecules are approximately 80 nucleotides in length. Their secondary structure includes four short double-helical elements and three loops (D, anti-codon, and T loops). The record is from RNAcentral. Lineage: Eukaryota; Fungi; Basidiomycota; Agaricomycetes; Agaricales; Lyophyllaceae.
GCCAAUGUGGCUCAAUGGUAGAGCAUCGCUUUCCUACCUUCAUUGAAGGUUAAGAGGCGAAGGUUGCGGGUUCGAUCCCCGUCAUUGGUU